GUAGGAAAACUAGACGUUUUAAACUGGACAAAAACAAACAGGGUAAAACCCAGAAAAAAGCUAGCGAUAAUUAAGUGUACAAUCCUGUGUACCCUUAAGUAUGACUAAGUCCCAUUCAACUUAGUAGGAUUUACUUCUGAGUCAACCUGUAUAGACUUGGGCUCUGUGUCUCAAUGGAAUCAAGGAAACUUACAGUGCAAUCCUAUAUAUGUCAGAAGUAAGCCCUAUCAAAAUCAGAGACACUCACUCCCAGGUAAGCGCUUAUAGAAUUGCGGCACAAAACUAAAUACUCCCAUCAUUAUUAAUGCAUAUAUGACUUCCUGCCAGGACAGGCUUCUGGGUGGUUUACAAAAUACUUUUUUUAAAAAAACCCAUUUACACAAAGUUCCAUUUUACUUGUAAAUAAGUCCCACUGUUUGGAUGUACACUCAGAAAUAAGUUCCACUGUAUCCACUUUGACUUACUCCCAGGUAAGUCGUCACAGGAUUGAAUCUUUAGGUGUGAUUAAUUUUAAGUGAUUGUGCCCAGCUUGUGUCUCCAUUUUUUUUUUUUUUUUACUUCCAGCAAGAGUGCCUAUUUCACAACUUAUGUUUCCUUUUCGGUCUUUCAGAAAUAUACAUCUAAAUAACAUACUUGUAAAAUGCUCUAAAUAUUCUUAAACCAUGACAUGAGCAACGUGACAGAGAUUGUUCUUGUUGAAAUUUAUACCCAGAAAGAGAUCGGGGUCUGAAUGGGAGCUGCAUGUUGUGGUUUGAGCCCAUCCAUGCACCUCCCCUGUGCACGAUCAUUUCAUACAAUAGUAAGGUUAGCAAAAGGAGAAACCCCAAAAUGCUGGAAGUUAAUGCAUUUGGAAUGCAAGCAGUAGUAGAAAUCAGAAAGAUUGGCACCAGCAAACUAUAGUUCUUUUUCUUAAAUGGUAUUAAGUAUUAAUCAAAAUAUGGGUUUUGUGCUUGACUUUGGCAGAGGGUUUCUAAAGCAAGCGCAUGAGCCACACAAAAGCCUUGUCCUUCCUAACCAGCCUCAUUUCAAUCAGUGGGAGUUUGCCCAUCCAUUGCCAUGAGCUCCCAGAGGGGCUCCAGAGACCCAUUUGGGUUGGGAACUGAAACGCUGCUGCAGAGUCUUUAAUUUUAUUAAUCUUUUAAAGCCCACCGCUUUUGAACAAAUGCCCAUUUAAAGCAGUUUUGCAUAAUUACGGUACACGUUUCAGUCGCAUUUGAGUUGAUUCUUAAUUUUUAUUAUUAUUAUUAUCUUGGGUUGCGUGGAAGUGCUCAAUUUGCUGAAACUCAGUCCGGCCUCUCUCUGUCUUGAGUUCUCCCCCCCCCCCCAAGAUGCUUUUGGAAUUCUCUGCCUUGCCACAAGAAGCUUUGGUCACGCAGAACUGUUGCCAGCUCCUAGGACUGAACCACACAAAACACUGCAAAGCCAGCUUCAUCGGAUUGCCUGUCCUGAAUUUUGCUUGGGAAUCUACCUGAAGCUCUGCAUCUCAUCCCUUGUCAACUCCUGCUUGUCUUAGCUGCAUGGGAACUAACCUCUGGGACCCUCCUUUCUGGAGAACCUUCUUACGUCUCCUUGUCUUGUCCUGAUGCCUCUAAAGCUUCAACCCUGGGAGCCCAUCUUGAACUCUGGAAUUUUACCAGGAAAGGUAAGCACUAGAAAUCAUU
Molecule: long non-coding RNA, 1661 nt
Organism: Podarcis muralis (Common wall lizard)
Lineage: Eukaryota; Metazoa; Chordata; Lepidosauria; Squamata; Lacertidae
Source: RefSeq, a predicted model, not a curated record